Molecule: long non-coding RNA, 343 nt
Organism: Magnolia sinica
Lineage: Eukaryota; Viridiplantae; Streptophyta; Magnoliopsida; Magnoliales; Magnoliaceae
Exons: 3
Source: RefSeq, a predicted model, not a curated record
ACUACUUUUGUUAAUUCAGACCAUUUAUAAAAUCCAUGAAAUGUAAUGCAUGAUGAGAUAUACAAUAAACAGAUAAAUCCUAUGGUUGGGAUUACCUUUGACCAAUGUUAUUUAUCUUCAAUUUCAAUUUCUUUUGUGUAAAACAGGCACAACAACACUUUGAUGAGUUUGAUACUAAUUACGAAGAAGAAGAAGUGGAGGUUGUUGAUGAGUUUGACAGUGACUUUGAUGAAGAUGGAUCUGAGCCAGAUGAUGAGGAGGAAAAUGAUGUUGAUGAGAGGACAUGGACUAAGAAGCGGUGAAUAUUUCCAGGACGCAAAUCAUGGACGGUCAACAUUUAUGG